CCACCUCAUGGGAUUCUUGUUCUUAGAGUUCAGUUAUCACGUCAUGAGGAAGGGAAGAGGCUGCCUGUAAAGACUACUGCCAAGUGUCCCGGAUGACAAUCCCAGACACCAUCAACGUAAAGACAUAUGAAUGAGUGAGCCUUAAUAUGAUUCUAGCCCCAGUCAUAAUCUGACUAAAACUGCAUGAGAUACCUGAGCAAGAAUUACCUCGGAAAGCCCAGUCAACACCAAGAAAAAUGAAAGACAGUGGCUAAACCAGAACAUGGAGUGGUAAGAAGAGAGGCAUGAAGAAACAAUUACUACUAGUCCUUGAGCACCAAAUCUGGCUGGGCAAGAGUGGAAGUUGAGGCUGUGUGAAGAGGCAGAAUCUUCUAACCGACUUGCUAUAAUCAGAUUAAUGUAAUCAGAAUUCAAAGAGAGAAGUCAUAGAUGAGGAAGUGCAGUAGGCCACAAUCAGGUAGGAGAAAACAGGAAACAAAAGUCAAAAGCAAGGUAUCACGAUAAAAUAGCAUAGAAAUAUAUGCGCCAAAUAGACCAGUUGAACUACUGAUUCUAGGCUGCUGCUCAUAUACUGUGACAUUCCUUCUGUAUGGCUUAGACAAAUCUAUAGCUAACAAGAGAACAAGUAGGGAUGCUUGUCUCUUUCUUCUGUAUACUCAAAUCAUUCUCUAAGGGCUUUUUGUCCCAAUCUUAAAACAAUAACAACAAAAUUUGUCUUUUUUUAAAAAAAAGUGAAAACUUUCCUUCUUUCUCAAUCAGAACAAGUGAACAAACAACAAAAAUAAACCUGUAGUUCUGCAUCUUCUUGCUCUUGCUCAGUAAAAUGGCUUUUUCUCUCUCCAUUCUGUCAAGAAUACCUCCUCAAACAUUCUCUGGUUCUCCAGGCUUUCAUUACCAUUAUUGCUCCCAGACAAUUCCACAUAUACAAUUUCUCUCCAAUUCAUUCCCUUCUGUAUAUUUCCUCUCCAGUAGCCCUAUAACUCAGGUCCUAAUCCUCUCCCACUACAAAAAACAUAACAGUCUCCAAACUGGUUUACCUGUUCGCAGCCUUAUUUCAAAUCUAUCCCUUAUAAUAUCAUUAGAAUUAGCUCCAAAAUACAAAUACGAUUGGGUCCACUAUAAUUUGAAGAUCUUUGAGGUCUUUGUGUUGCCUUAAAUUUAUGCUUCUUAAUUUGGCUGUUAAAACCACUUUCAAUCUUAUCUCAACUUAUCUUUUCCAAUUUU
Molecule: long non-coding RNA, 1224 nt
Organism: Felis catus (domestic cat)
Lineage: Eukaryota; Metazoa; Chordata; Mammalia; Carnivora; Felidae
Exons: 3
Source: RefSeq, a predicted model, not a curated record